GUGAGGAAUUUUCCGCAAUGGGCGAAAGCCUGACGGAGCAAUGCCGCGUGAAGGAUGAAGGCCUAUGGGUUGUAAACUUCUUUUCUCAGAAAAGAAUUAUGACGGUAUCUGAGGAAUAAGCAUCGGCUAACUCUGUGCCAGCAGCCGCGGUAAGACAGAGGAUGCAAGCGUUAUCCGGAGUGAUUGGGCGUAAAGCGUCUGUAGGUUGUUUAAAAAGUAUUCUGUCAAAGAUUAGGGCUUAACCCUAGAUAGGCAGAAUAAACUUUUAAGCUAGAGUUUGGUAGAGGCAGAGGGAAUUCCCGGUGGAGCGGUGAAAUGCGUAGAUAUCGGGAGGAACACCAAAGGCGAAGGCACUCUGCUGGGCCAAUACUAACACUGAGAGACGAAAGCGAGGGGAGCAAAUGGGAUUAGAUACCCUAGUAGUCC
This 426-nucleotide ribosomal RNA is filed under the name uncultured bacterium. Its description in RNAcentral is "partial 16S ribosomal RNA". It matches the Rfam family "Bacterial small subunit ribosomal RNA", at positions 354 to 796 of the family's 1533-position model. The record is from RNAcentral.